GAUGAACGCUGGCGGCGUGCCUAAUACAUGCAAGUCGAGCGAACAGACGAGGAGCUUGCUCCUCUGACGUUAGCGGCGGACGGGUGAGUAACACGUGGAUAACCUACCUAUAAGACUGGGAUAACUUCGGGAAACCGGAGCUAAUACCGGAUAAUAUAUUGAACCGCAUGGUUCAAUAGUGAAAGACGGUUUUGCUGUCACUUAUAGCUGGAUCCGCGCCGCAUUAUCUAGUUGGUAAGGUAACGGCUUACCAAGGCGACGAUGCGUAGCCGACCUGAAAGGGUGAUCGACCACACUGGAACUGAGACACGGUCCAGACUCCUACGGGAGGCAGCAGUAGGGAAUCUUCCGCAAUGGGCGAAAGCCUGACGGAGCAACGCCGCGUGAGUGAUGAAGGUCUUCGGAUCGUAAAACUCUGUUAUUAGGGAAGAACAAAUGUGUAAGUAACUAUGCACGUCUCGACGGUACCUAAUCAGAAAGCCACGGCUAACUACGUG
Molecule: ribosomal RNA, 497 nt
Filed under: uncultured bacterium
Lineage: Bacteria
Description: partial 16S ribosomal RNA
Rfam family: Bacterial small subunit ribosomal RNA
Source: RNAcentral